This 1434-nucleotide ribosomal RNA is filed under the name Thosea sinensis. Its description in RNAcentral is "16S ribosomal RNA". The record is from RNAcentral. Lineage: Eukaryota; Metazoa; Arthropoda; Insecta; Lepidoptera; Limacodidae.
GAAAGAAAAAUUAAUAAAUUUAAAAAAUAAUAAAAAAAUUUUUAGAAAAUAUUUUAAUUGGGGAGUUAAAGUAUUAGUAUAGAAAUAAUUAAAAAUUUUAUAGGGAAUUAGUAAUGUAAAUGAAAUUUGAAAAAAAAAUAAAAAUCAUUAAAAAGUAAUUUUUAUUUAAUGUAUCUUGUGUAUCAGAGUUUAUUAAUUAAAAUUUUAAUUUUAAAAUUUCUCGAAUUAAAAAGAGUUAAUUAAUUAAAAAAAUUAUUAUAGUAUAAAUAUUUUAAAUAGUUAAUUAGAAAUGAAAUGUUAAUCGUUUUUUAAGAUAUCUAGUUUUUUUAGAAAAAAAUUUAAUUUUAAAAUUGUUAGAUUUUAAUUUUUAAUUAAAAAAAAAAUUAAAUUAAAUAAAAUUAAUUUUUAAAUUUUAUUUAUUAACAACUUAAAUAUUUUAAGGGAUAAGCUUUAAAAUAAAUUUUUAUAUUUAAUUAUAAAUUAUUUUAAAAAUUUUAAAAUUUAUAUUGUUUAAAAAUUUUAUUUUAUUAUAAAUAAUUUUAAAUUAAGAAAAAUUUAAUUAAAAUUAAAAUUUUUAUAAAAAUAUUAUUUUAAAUAAUAAAAAUUAAGAUAUAAUGAUAAAAUUAGUAUAAUAAUAAUAAUUAAAAUAUAAUUUAUAAAAAUUUAUUGAAAAUUUAAUAAAAAGAAUUCGGCAAAAUUUUAUAUUCACCUGUUUAUCAAAAACAUGUCUUUUUGAUAUUUUAAUAAUUUAAAGUCAAAUCUGCCCACUGAUUAAAAAUUAAAGGGCUGCAGUAAUUUGACUGUACAAAGGUAGCAUAAUCAAUAGUCUCUUAAUUAGUGACUUGUAUGAAUGAUUUGAUGAAAUAUAAACUGUUUCUUAUUAAUUAUAUUGAACUUAAUUUUUUAAUUAAAAAGUUAAAAUUUAAUUAAAAGACGAGAAGACCCUAUAGAGUUUUAUAAAAAAUAAUUAUUUUAUUUUUUUUUAGUUUAAAAUUUAAAUAAUUAUUUUUUAUUAUGUUGGGGUGAUAGAAAAAUUAAAUUAACUUUUUUUAAAAAAAAAAAUACAUUAAUAAGUGAAUAAAUUGAUCCAUAAUUUAUGAUUAUAAGAAAAAAUUACCUUAGGGAUAACAGCGUAAUUUUUAUUUUUAGUUCGAAUAAGAAUAAAAGUUUGCGACCUCGAUGUUGGAUUAAGAUAAAAUUUAAAUGCAAAAGUUUAAAAUUUUGAUCUGUUCGAUCAUUAAAAUCUUACAUGAUCUGAGUUCAAACCGGUGUAAGCCAGGUUGGUUUCUAUCUUUAAUAAAAUAAAAUAUUAUAGUACGAAAGGAUUUAAUAUUUAAAAUAAUUUUAUUCUAAAUGAAUUUUAUUAAAAAAAAAAUAAUUUAAAUUUAUUAAUUAAAGAUUAAAAUAAAAUAAAAUAAUUAAAUAAAUUAAUUA